UGCCUGUACCAUAACCGACACAGGUUGGUAAGUAGAGUAUACUAAGGGGCGCGAGAUAACUCUCUCUAAGGAACUCGGCAAAAUAACUCCGUAACUUCGGGAGAAGGAGUGCCUUAUUCUUAAGGUUGCAAUAACAAGAUCCAAGCAACUGUUUAUCAAAAACACAGGUCUCCGCUAAGUCGUAAGACGAUGUAUGGGGGCUGACGCCUGCCCAGUGCCAGAAGGUUAAAGAAGUCGGUUAGCAAUAGCAAAGCUGGUAACUGAAGCCCUGGUGAACGGCGGCCGUAACAAUAACGGUCCUAAGGUAGCGAAAUUCCUUGUCGGGUAAGUUCCGACCCGCACGAAAGGCGUAAUGAUUUGGAUGCUGUCUCGGAGAGGGGCUCGGUGAAAUAGACUUGUCUGUGAAGAUGCGGACUACCUGCACCAGGACAGAAAGACCCUAUGAAGCUUUACUGUAACUUGAAAUUGAAAUUGGACUUUAUUCGCGCAGUAUAGGUGGGAGGCGUUGAUUAUAAUCUUGUGGGAUUAUUGGAGCCAUCAGUGAGAUACCACUCUUGUAAUGUUAGAUUUCUAACUUUGAAUCAUUAUCUGGUCAAAGGACAGUUUCAGGCGGGCAGUUUGACUGGGGCGGUCGCCUCCUAAACGGUAACGGAGGCGUACAAAGGUUUCCUCUGAACGGUUAGAAAUCGUAUCUAGAGUGUAAAGGCAUAAGGAAGCUUGACUGUGAGACCUACAAGUCGAGCAGGGACGAAAGUCGGUCUUAGUGAUCUGACGGUACUGAGUGGAAAGGCCGUCACUCAACGGAUAAAAGUUACUCUAGGAUAACAGGCUGAUCUCCCCCAAGAGUUCACAUCGACGGGGAGGUUUGGCACCUCGAUGUCGGCUCAUCGCAUCCUGGGGCGGUAGUACGUCCCAAGGGUUGGGCUGUUCGCCCAUGAAAGCGGUACGCGAGCUGGGUUCAGAACGUCGUGAGACAGUUCGGUCCAUAUCCGGUGUAGGCGCUAGAAUAUUGAGAGGAGCCUUCUUUAGUACGAGAGGACCGAGAAGGACAUACCUCUGGUGUACCAGUUAUCGUGCCAACGGUAAACGCUGGGUAGCUAUGUAUGGAGUGGAUAACCGCUGAAAGCAUCUAAGUGGGAAGCCCACCUCAAGAUAAGUAUUCUCAUCACGUAAGUGAGUAAGGUCACGGUAAGACUAACCGUUUGAUAGGCAUUAAGUGUAAGUACAGUAAUGUAUGUGCUGAGAUGUCCUAAUAGACCGAGGAC
This 1265-nucleotide ribosomal RNA is filed under the name metagenome. RNAcentral describes it as "bacterial LSU rRNA". It matches the Rfam family "Bacterial large subunit ribosomal RNA", at positions 1639 to 2925 of the family's 2925-position model. The record is from RNAcentral.